RNAcentral lists this ribosomal RNA (458 nucleotides) under uncultured euryarchaeote. RNAcentral's name for it is "bacterial SSU rRNA". It matches the Rfam family "Archaeal small subunit ribosomal RNA", at positions 341 to 802 of the family's 1478-position model. The record is from RNAcentral. Lineage: Archaea; Methanobacteriati; Methanobacteriota.
GCGAAAACUUACACACUGCAGGAAACUGUGAUGAGGGAACUCCUAGUGCAUGCACUAUGUGUAUGUAGAUCCUACUCUUAAUCAGUAGAGGGAAAGGGCUGGGAAAGACCGGUGCCAGCCGCCGCGGUAAUACCGGCAGCUCAAGUGGUCGUCGCUUUUAUUGGGCCUAAAACGUCCGUAGCCUGUUUGGUAAAUCUGUGGGUAAAUCAAUCCGCUCAACGGAUUGAAUUCUGCAGAGACUGCCAGACUAGGGACCGGGAGAGGUAUGAGGUACUCUCAGGGUAGGGGUAAAAUCCUGUCAUCCUGAGAGGACCACCUGUUGCGAAGGCGUCAUACUGGAACGGAUCCGACGGUCAGGGACGAAGCCUAGGGGCACGAACCGGAUUAGAUACCCGGGUAGUCCUAGGUGUAAACGCUGUGGACUUGGUGUUGGAGAUCCAUCAUGGGUCUUCAGUGCC